AGUGGGCACACAAUAGGCAGUCGAUAUGGUCUCUGAUAAAACUAACAUCUGGCUGUGGGUGGGGUCAGUACGUCCACUCCUCAGGAGUGUGGCUGAUGCAUCUAUCACAGUUGCAUAAGUUUGAAGCAUCAACAGAAGAAUGGAUUGGAUGGUUGAUGUCAGGAGGCUCUGUACUAUGGCAGCCAAUAUGGUAGGCUCACUGCUCUAUGUUCAUAACAUGUGAACUGGGGCCUCUCCAAGUCAUCAUCAUAAGUAUGGGC
This 260-nucleotide long non-coding RNA is filed under the name Elaeis guineensis (African oil palm). RNAcentral describes it as "long non-coding RNA (EGUI_LNC076406)". Lineage: Eukaryota; Viridiplantae; Streptophyta; Magnoliopsida; Arecales; Arecaceae. The record is from RNAcentral.